Molecule: ribosomal RNA, 505 nt
Filed under: uncultured Archaeosporaceae
Lineage: Eukaryota; Fungi; Glomeromycota; Glomeromycetes; Archaeosporales; Archaeosporaceae
Description: SSU rRNA
Rfam family: Eukaryotic small subunit ribosomal RNA
Source: RNAcentral
AGCAGCCGCGGUAAUUCCAGCUCCAAUAGCGUAUAUUAAAGUUGUUGCAGUUAAAAGCUCGUAGUUGAAUUUUGGAUUCUGCCAAUUGGUCCAUCUUUUAGAUGAGUACUGGUUGUGUGGGGUCUAUCCGCCUGGUGAUACGUAAUGUCCUUUAUUGGAUGUUGCGGGUAGUCAGGACCUUUACCUUGAAAAAUUAGAGUGUUUAAAGCAGGCUUAUGCCGGAAUACAUUAGCAUGGAAUAAUAGAAUAGGACGAAGUUGUUUUAUUUUGUUGGUUUCUAGGACAACCGUAAUGAUUAAUAGGGAUAGUUGGGGGCAUUAGUAUUCAAUUGUCAGAGGUGAAAUUCUUGGAUUUAUUGAAGACUAACUACUGCGAAAGCAUUUGCCAAGGAUGUUUUCAUUAAUCAAGAACGAAAGUUAGGGGAUCGAAGACGAUCAGAUACCGUCGUAGUCUUAACCAUAAACUAUGCCGACUAGGGAUCGGGCGAUGUUGUUUCCAUGACUCG